GUGAAAUCUGCAAGGCGGCUGCUUCUUCAGGCGGAUUGUCCUGCGAUGCCAGGGCUGAAAAUAGUUUAGGAAGCUGCCCCUUUUGUUCCUAGCGAUCCGCCUGCCUCCAGUCCUCCUCGGCUGAACUUCCUUUUCCCACUUUCUCUGGCCCCCUCGGCAGGGAGAGGAAAUCACCAGGAAUUGGCUGUUUGAGUCAACUCCCGCUGGCCCAUUGUCGCAGGCCUGUCCCUCCUUCCUUCCUAUCGACAAGGCCCUGGGAAAAGAGAGAAUGAGCCUGUGUUUGCACACAGACUUGUAGGCCAAGUGGGACCUUGUUUUCGAAAUGCUUCCUUUACUCGACUUCACACACCUUUAGGAAAAUGGCUCUAAGAUCAGAAGGAUAAUCUCUUCAGGGCUUUCCCCUCCCCCUGGUGGUGGGCCUGGCUCCCCUCUCCUCUUGCAAAGGAGGCUUUCCACAGCUGCUACUCCUUCCAAACACACCUUAGGGCUGGAGGCUGAGGAACCAGGAGAAUCUCUUUAGAAGGCAGAUUUGGCUCGAGGGCUGCUGGUUGCAGAUUAUAAAGCAGGGGUUUAUAAUCUUUGGGCCUAGAGGGCCACAUCAGGCCUCUUUAUCUGACCCUAGGCCGCACCCAUCUCUGAUAUUGUUCUGCCUCCUCCUUGAGCAACUUUGCCUAGCUAAAAGGUUUCCUUGAAUUCUGAUCAUGCCUAUUCCUUGCCUGAAUGAAGGAUAGAGAGGAGAAUGUAGAAACUGGCCAACUAGGUAAAGUAAAAAAGUAAUUGUGUUCAUUGCUGCACCCACUUUAGCUACCAUCAUCAAUAGCAUCACAGGGAGAAACAGAGAUGCACUGUAACAUAUGGUUCCUUUCUGACAGUUCUGAAGGAUAUUCUGAGCUCUUCAGCACCAAAGGAAGACGUAGUUCGUGCUUUAUUUUAAAUCAUCUUGUUAGAUCUUUGGGCUGAUCCUGCAAGUCUACAACUGAAAAGUGGCCAGCCAAGGAGCCAAGCCAAGUGCAGCUACAAUCAAUAAAGCCAUCUCCUGUUGCUUCUUGCAAGCAUCAGUGUUAUAGGGUUCCCAAAUGUGGGUUCUCCAGCUGUUUUUGGACUACAGUCCCCAUCAUCCCUGACCACCGGUCCUGCUGGCUAAGCAUGAUGGGAGUUGUAGUCCAAAAAACAGAUGGAUGCUGUUUGGGAAACCCUUAUAGACUGGCUGGCAUGUCAAGCCAUCAUCUCACUGUAGAACAAUGAGAUGAGAAGGGCCAAAGGCCCUUGCUGGCAGAGUCAUUUAAAUAUUUCAGACAAAGUCCAGAGAGAAAAGAAAAUGAUAAUACUGUAUAACCUGAACAAGAACAGUAUAUAACUUCAGGUUUUGUCUGUCUUAAGUCAGGCUAGAUAUACAAUUACAACACAUAGAAGAAAACUAUGUCAAUAUGCAAAUGACAUUCAGCUCUGUUUCUCCUUGCCACCUGGUGAAGUUUGUGUCUGGAGGCAAUAAUGAGAUGGAGGAAGGCCAAAACACUGAAGCUACAUAAAUCCUAGAUAGGUUAGAGAUACUGCAGAUUGGUAGUUCCUGGGCUGAUGAAACAGAGAGAGAGAGAGCUUGUUCUAGAGAGGGUUGCAUGCCCGCUGAAGGACCAGGUACAUAGCCUGAGGGGUUCUCCUAGAUUUUCCUCUGUAGCUAGGGCCCAGGUGGCUGUAAUGGUAUGAAGUGCCUUUUUCCAGCUCUGGCCUUUUCACCAGCUACAGCCACUCCUGGGAAGAGAAUGCCUGGCCAUAAAGAUAGGGGCACAAAUUACCUAUAAGUUGGAUUACUGCAAUUCAUUCCAUGUGGGGUGGCCCUUGAGGACUGCUCAUGGACAUUGCAAAAUGCAGCUGCCAAAGUAUUAAUGGGAAUGUCUGCAGAAAGGCAUAUAACAACAGUUCUCAUCAGGCCCAGUUCAGAGGCUUAGUUCCAACGCUAAAUGGCUAAGGAUCUGGAUAUCUAAAGGAACGCAUCUCUCCAAAUAGUACUUCCUGGGCCUUGAGGCUGCUCGUUCAGCACCAGCUGAAGACUUUGUUCUACAGUCCGGCCUUCUGAAUUGGCUGUGUAUGUGCGUGCUGUGUAAGGAGCGACAUAGCCAAGAUUCUUAAUUGUAUUUCACUUUUAUUGCUUAGUGAAUUUUAAACUGCUGAUACCUUCCCCGAGAUCACUAGUGAUGAGGGGUGGGACAUACAUUCUUUAAAAUGAAAGAAAACAAGCAUUGCUUCUAAAAUGUGACGGUUCCAUUUUUAGUAUUAAUUUCAAGCUCAAGGACGUCAGUUGCUGUGGAGUAGAAAGUUUGCAUGCAGAAGGUCCCAUGUUCAAGCCCUGGCAUCUCCAGGUAAGGUUACAUCCACUUCAAGUUCUCUUACACCACUACAACACCCAUGGCUCCCUCCAAAAGAAUUCUGGGAACUGUAGUUUGUUAAGACCUCACUGAGCUACAGUUCUCAGCAUCCAAAUGAAUGAUCCAUGGGGUGGAUCUGACUUAAGGGGAUCUGGUAGUGGGAAACAGGAAAUACCUUCCUUUGUCCAAGACCCUGGAGACCUGCUAAUUUAGGCUGCUUUCAGAUAUGUGGGUUACUGUGCUACGUUUGCUGGUUACAAUGCUAGCUCUUCUGUCCCAGUUUUUAACAUUCCUUUUAUACUGCAGCACUUUGUUGCAUUAUGGCACUCUGGCUUUUUGAUCAACACACCACCAUGUCACACUAAAUUCUGAACAGCAGGAAAGAACUGUAUCCUGGGAUACUGCCCUAAAUUCUGUCACAUGGAACUACAAUGCAAAACUCCUGAGAUUUGCCAAGUUAAUAGGGUUGCAAAUGGAUUCCACUCGUCCCCCUUGAAAAAAAAUAAAGUGGGAACAAGCACUAAACUUCCACUUAAAUUCCUCUAGAUUUCCAGAUGUGGCUUUUCUGUAGCAUGAAAGUUAACAACAACAAUGACAAAACAACCACCACAACCCAGGUCCAACACUAACACUGAAUAAAAAGCAGGAAGGGACUAAAGCCUGAGAGAACUACAGUGAGGGAAGACUAGAUUACCUUUCUGUCUAUUACUUCCCAACAGGUUCCGCUAGCUUACUGAAAACAGUGUUGCUUUACUCCCAAUAAUGGAAGAUGGGGUUUGUAGUCCAAUCGCACCUGGAGGGUCACAGGUUUCCCCAGCCAAGGAGUAAACCAUACCUUGGCCAGGUAGACAAUGGUCUGUCUUGGAAUAAGGCAGCUUCCAUCUUUCCUCACUCAAAACAACUUGCCAGCUAACAGCAGCAAGACCCUACUGCUUUUGCAAGAACCAAAGCCAGGAUGUUUACAGCCAGUGUGGUGUAGUGGUUUUAGAGUGGUGAACUAGGAGUUGAGAGACCAGGGUUCAAAUCCACAUUUGGCCAUGUGGCUCCCUGGGUGACCAUGAGCCAGUCACUGUCUCUCAGUCUACCCAAAACCUAAGGGGUGUUGUGAGGAUACAAAUGGGGAGGGGGAGAACCUAUGUGUGCCAGCCUUGGACAAAAGCUGAGCUAUAAAUGCAAUAAUUAGCACUAUCUGGCUUUUCCUUGCUAGAUUCUGGCCGUGGGACUCUUAACGCUCAGCUGAAUGGAUCUGCCUGACCUGGGCUGCAGGUUGUUAUUCUCCAUGGCUGUGAGACUCAACUGCUCAGAUUCCUUUAUUGCAAUAAAAUUUAACUAUUCCUGCAAGAGCCUGGCUGGAGUAAUACCAGAAUCAUCAUAGCUGCACAGAUAACCAUGCAUGGCCCCCAGGGCUCUUUAUCUGAAUUCCCACCACCACUAUCAACCUUCCACUGCAGAGAUGAGUUUUGAUAUAACAAGAUGUAUGUGCUCUAGGCUACAGAUGCACAGUGAAGGACAACAAUCUCCAGCGUUGAACAUACACACAGGCAUGGCUGUCUCUAUUCUCUCAUUCAUCCCCCCCUACCCCACCCAUCAACUUCUCUCCCCACCCCUCACCCCAUUUCCCUUUCCUGUGAAAGCCCUAUCUCCCGACCACUGGAAAUCCUGCUUGCUGCUACUCCCACCCUCGACUCUCAAGAUUUCAGCAGGAAUCGCUUGCACACUUGCAAGCUCAUGUCUAUAGCCAUGAGGGCAAGAAACCUGUUUACUUGUUUGUUAUAAAUUGAGUAACAGAUUAGAUGUUUUAGGUGCUGAAAGCUGCACCCAGUAGCAAAUUCAGAACUUAACUAUUGCAGAAUAUGCCCAGCACUGAUAACCAGGGCUGAACUGGAUGUUUUCAGCUAAGUAAUAGAAACUGGGUGAAGAGCAGCAAUAGGGGCUGGUUUCAGGGAAAUUUAAUCACACCCUUAUAAAUAAACCCAUGACAGUUAGUUGCCUGUCAAAAAACAAAAGGAGACUGAAGUCAUAUUCACGCCAUAAAUUUAAAACACAUGCCUCCCCUCUUCUGGAGAAUCCUGGGAAUUGUAGUUUGUUAAGGGGUAGAGAAGUGGUUCUCAAUCCCACCCCCCCAGCCACACUUUCAAAUUAAAAAUUUGCUCGUGUCACACCAAUUUUUGUGUGGAUAAGAAAUACAUUGGAAAGCAACUCCUAGCAAUGCCUGAUUUAUAUUAUAGAACACAACUACUUUCUAAUAUGAUCCUGGGAGGUCCAGAAAGUAUAAAAGAAUGCAGCUACAUAAUAACAUGAACAUGAACCAUUCCCAAAAUAUAACAGAUUGUCUUCCUGCCAUGUUUGCCAUCUUCUCCUGCCACACCAGUGUGCAAGAUUAGGACUUGGGAGACCAGAGUUUAAAUCUCCACUCAGCCAUGAAACUCAGCAAGUGACCUUGGGCAAGCCACAAUCUCUCAGCCUAAUCUACCUGACAGGGUUAUUGUGGGGAUAAAAUAGGGGGGGGGGGGGUUUAGAAGAACUACAUGUACCAACCUGAAUGACUAAAUGGUGGCCACUAUCACUUUCUCUCCUUCCCUCACUCCCAGCACUUCUAAAAUGACACUAUAUAAAAUUGUUCACACGUUACACUGAACACAGGUAUAAGCUGUCACUACAAAUGCACAGGUGUUUGUGUGAGACAGUGUACAUGCGUUGCUCGGCUAUUGCGUAUGCGGACUGUGCGCACAUUGAAGGUAACAUGUGAAUAACUAUACGAGUGUAUUUGUGUACAUGGGUUUGGAUGUUGAACCCUCGCUAAAUGUAACAUGCAAACACCCCAACGUUACAACAUCACAUCGUUCCAAGGGCUUGCAGGGUGCUGGCAAACCCAACUUUACUAAAGAAAGGGCCACUGUUACUGCCACUCACUGAACUCUUCCCCUCAAACCGUGCAAAUAAUCCUUCUCCCCAAAUCAUCUGAAAUGCUCUCCCCUAUUUGCCACGAUUGGAGGAGGCGGCAUUCUUGCUCAGCCUUAUGGCUUGGGGUGGAGGGGUGAGGAAUGAAAAGGCCUUGGGACCAGAGCCCAGCUUUCAGGAGCCAACGUCAAAAAAAUGCUAGGCUCUUGCCCAGAGCACGCACAGAGAUAUUAUCAAAAUUCUUAGGCAUCAGCACCAAACAUUUAAAAGUCUACUGGUAUUUUUCCAGCUUGAGUUGCCGAAGAGGAUCGUUUCAUGCCAAGAAAAGUACCUUGGAAGACUGUUGACUAACAUGGGCUUCAAAGCUCUCUCUCAUCCUAAC
RNAcentral lists this long non-coding RNA (5646 nucleotides) under Podarcis lilfordi (Lilford's wall lizard). The record is from RNAcentral. Lineage: Eukaryota; Metazoa; Chordata; Lepidosauria; Squamata; Lacertidae.